AACAGUUUAAAGUAGUGGUAUGUUUAUUGACUGAUAUUAAGUUUAAUCGAAAACAUUAUCUAAAUUGAUAUAUGAAGUGAAUGGUAUGGUUCUUGUAGAAGUAAUUGGGGCAAAAAAAUCUGCAGGCAAAUUGACAAUAGGUAUUGAUGACCGUUUUAUGUGAGUGAAAAGUGAGGAAUCUGAAGUGAUAUGGUUAAUAGCUCCGUUAUCCAAAAUCUAAGGUUUAGUGAAUACAGAAUCAAUUGAGAUAUUAGAAAAAAGAAAUAGACUUGUAGCAUUUGCAUAAGUAUUACUAUUACCAGAAGCAGAAUUUAUAGACAUCAUAGAUAAGGCAUGAACUAGUUGUUGAAUUUGAUUUGUUGAUAAACUAUGUGUGGAAUUGAGUUGGUUGGAGAGUUGAUUGGGUUUAUUGACAUCCUAUGAAUGAGUGACUUGCACAAACUGAGAAGAGUUUGUCAUAUUGACACUAAAGAAGGAUUUGUGUGUAGUUCUUCUUUAUCCACGUUGUUGCUGUUGUGGUUGACCUUGUUGAUUCCCCU
Molecule: long non-coding RNA, 539 nt
Filed under: Carica papaya (papaya)
Lineage: Eukaryota; Viridiplantae; Streptophyta; Magnoliopsida; Brassicales; Caricaceae
Description: long non-coding RNA (CPAP_LNC015201)
Source: RNAcentral